Molecule: ribosomal RNA, 253 nt
Filed under: uncultured bacterium
Lineage: Bacteria
Description: partial 16S ribosomal RNA
Rfam family: Bacterial small subunit ribosomal RNA
Source: RNAcentral
UACGUAGGCAGCGAGCGUUGUUCGGAAUUACUGGGCGUAAAGAGUGUGUAGGCGGUGCUCUAAGUUCGGUGUGAAAUCUCCUGGCUCAACUGGGAGGGUGCGCCGGAAACUGGAGUGCUUGAGCGUGGGAGAGGAAAGCGGAAUUCCUGGUGUAGCGGUGAAAUGCGUAGAUAUCAGGAGGAACACCUGUGGUGUAGACGGCUUUCUGGACCAUAGCUGACGCUGAGACGCGAAAGCGUGGGGAGCGAACAGG